Pteropus alecto (black flying fox) is the source of this 340-nucleotide long non-coding RNA. RefSeq lists it as uncharacterized. The transcript is spliced from 3 exons. The record is from RefSeq and is a predicted model, not a curated record. Lineage: Eukaryota; Metazoa; Chordata; Mammalia; Chiroptera; Pteropodidae.
AUGACAUUCCAUUAUGUCUGUAUCACAUCUUGGUUAACCAUUUAUUCAUUGCUGGACAUGUGGGUUGCUUGUGAAUAGGGCUGCUAUGAAAAUCGGUGUGUAAAUAUCUCUUCAAGAUCCUGCUUUCAUCCCACCCCAUCACUUUAUUGAAGAAUAAUUGGCUCACAGAAUCUACCUACGUAGUAACCUAGGAAGAUGCAUGUGGCCGCUGAUGAUCAUCGAGCAUGCAGAAUCCAUUGGAUCUCAUCAUUCAUUUGAGCCGUCCCACUUUCUCCAACCCAUUGAAAAAUCUUUUUAUUCGGGAAUUAUUUAAAGCCUACAAUAAAUUGUGAAAUACAAA